Non-coding RNA from Nelumbo nucifera (sacred lotus), 85 nucleotides. NCBI's taxonomy places the organism in Eukaryota, Viridiplantae, Streptophyta, Magnoliopsida, Proteales, Nelumbonaceae. The record is from Rfam.
CGUGCAAGUGAUGAUAGAACAGACAGGGACAUCAGCACUCUUUAGGAGUAUGAUGACUCGUCUAUGGGAAUCUCUCUAAUGCAUA